AGCUCAGGGGAUAGAGCACUGGUUUCCGGAGCCAGGUGUCGCAGGUUCGAAUCCUGCC
RNAcentral lists this transfer RNA (58 nucleotides) under Alphaproteobacteria bacterium. RNAcentral describes it as "tRNA-Arg". It matches the Rfam family "tRNA", at positions 9 to 64 of the family's 71-position model. From Rfam's summary of the family: Transfer RNA (tRNA) molecules are approximately 80 nucleotides in length. Their secondary structure includes four short double-helical elements and three loops (D, anti-codon, and T loops). Further hydrogen bonds mediate the characteristic L-shaped molecular structure. tRNAs have two regions of fundamental functional importance: the anti-codon, which is responsible for specific mRNA codon recognition, and the 3' end, to which the tRNAs corresponding amino acid is attached (by aminoacyl-tRNA synthetases). tRNAs cope with the degeneracy of the genetic code in two manners: having more than one tRNA (with a specific anti-codon) for a particular amino acid; and 'wobble' base-pairing, i.e. permitting non-standard base-pairing at the 3rd anti-codon position. Lineage: Bacteria; Pseudomonadati; Pseudomonadota; Alphaproteobacteria. The record is from RNAcentral.